This 253-nucleotide ribosomal RNA is filed under the name uncultured bacterium. RNAcentral's name for it is "partial 16S ribosomal RNA". It matches the Rfam family "Bacterial small subunit ribosomal RNA", at positions 524 to 776 of the family's 1533-position model. The record is from RNAcentral.
UACAGAGGGGGCAAGCGUUGUUCGGAAUUACUGGGUUUAAAGGGUGCGUAGGCGGCUUUGUAAGUCAGGAGUGAAAGUUUGCGGCUCAACCGUAAAAUUGCUUUUGAUACUGCGAGGCUAGAAUUAGGAUGAGGUCAGCGGAAUGUGGCAUGUAGCGGUGAAAUGCAUAGAUAUGCCAUAGAACACCAAUUGCGAAGGCAGCUGGCUAGACCUGGAUUGACGCUGAGGCACGAAAGCGUGGGGAGCGAACAGG